AAGAGAUAGAGACAGAGAAAGAGAUAGAGAGAGACAGAGACAGAGAGAGACAUAGAGAGAGACACACACAGAGACAGAGAAAGAGACAGAGAGAGACACAGAGAGAGACAGGGAGAGAGACCAAUUAUCCUCAGAGGGACUGGAGUCAGGCUGCAACAGACCUCUGCUGCUGCUGCUGCUGCUAACUCGCUUCAGUCGUGUCUGACUCUGUGCGACCCCAUAGAUGGCAGCCCACCAGGCUCUGCCGUCCCUGGGAUUUUCCAGGAAAGAGUACUGGAGUGGGCUGCCAUUGCCUUCUCCAGCGUCAGACCUCUACCUGGGGCUAAAAACCAGGCAGGUGCCUUCGCAGGUCUGAGGAAAAUUAUGCAAUCGCUUCAUCAGGAGUGCUUGCCAAAGUGAAGAUGUUUUCUGUCACACAGAACACUCUAGAAAUGCCCCUCUUCCGUGCCUCCGUCCUGAGGUUGUCAGGGACUUUCUCCAGGAGAGACCGGGACCCCAGUGCCCAUCCUGGCCACACACGGUCCAUCUGUAAUCAUCUCCUAGCUUCAGCGUCAGACGGCAGACGAGGGGUGCAUCACGGGAGCCCACACAGCAGGGCUGUCAGCCUGGGCUGGGGGACCACCGAGUCACGCUUCAUCCCCGUCUUCUGCCUGUGCCUCCGUCAGGGGGACCACCGAGGCCCGUGCCGCUGUCUCACUCCGCCUGUGGCUCCUGGGGCCACAGCUCAGCGAUGUCCCGUCUCCAGGAGGUCCAGUCUCCUCUGGGUUCUGCUCGACACUCUCUCACCCUCGUGGCCCCUGGAGCUCCUGUGACCAGCACCUCAAGUCUGUGUCCUUGGUCCAGGACACCCACCGACCUGGGAUGGGACGACCGCAGCCUCUGGACCCCAGUUCUCUCGUGCUGUAGGGUCUGGAGCCGCCGGGAGGGGUCAGGCCGGUUGCUGGGCCUUCUCGGGCCUCUCCGGUCUGGCUUUCCCCCGAGUGGCGCCGGCUCUGGCUCCACGCUGGUGCCCAGGCUGUGGGCGAGAUGCUCAGGGUCCAACUCCCUCCAUCCUGGUCAGGUGCACAGUGGCCCCAAGGCAUGAGCUCCGAGGCUGAGUGCUUACCCGGCCCCGAGAGGCAGGGUCGGGCCUGGGACUCUGUGCUGUCCUUGGCCAGCAGGCCCUGGCUCUCGGCAGGUCAGAGGUCCCCUGCUUUUCUGGAGGCCAGCAGGCUCCUGAAGACUCCGGCAAGCCUUGUGCAUGCUGGGGGGCUGACCAGGGAGCGGGCACCUCUGGUGAGGGGGGCAGCCCUGUGCCGAGAACUCACCCAAGGCUUCCCUUAGUCCCACACCCAUGCUCAGGACCGAGCUGGCAAAAUGGGAGGAGCGGGGCACAGGAGGUGUGCCUGGAUGGUGGGGGAGGGGUCUGGCCGGGUCUGUGACCCCAGACUGUUCGGAGCUGCUCGGAGCCGAGCCCUCUCUCCCUGGGGGUCCCACGAGCUCACCCUGGCAGCUCCAGACAACUAUUUUUCUUCUGGGAAUCAGUAAAUUCGCACUAAUUUCCCUAAACAUUA
Bubalus bubalis (water buffalo) is the source of this 1553-nucleotide RNA transcript. RefSeq lists it as uncharacterized. The record is from RefSeq and is a predicted model, not a curated record. Lineage: Eukaryota; Metazoa; Chordata; Mammalia; Artiodactyla; Bovidae. The transcript has 2 exons.